This is a long non-coding RNA of Notolabrus celidotus (New Zealand spotty), 1051 nucleotides long. RefSeq lists it as uncharacterized. The transcript has 3 exons. The record is from RefSeq and is a predicted model, not a curated record. Lineage: Eukaryota; Metazoa; Chordata; Actinopteri; Labriformes; Labridae.
AAAACCAGGAAGUGCUGCGUGUCCCUCCCUAUCAGAGGUAAUCAAGGUGGUUCACACAUGAAGCUCCUUCUGUAUUCCUGCCGACCUUUGAGCCUCUCCCCUUUGUCCGCACGGAGAAAGCUAUCUUGACAGAAGCAGAUAAGCAUCGACCAGACGCUCUAAAACACAAAAAAGAGACGUCUGCACUCUGGGCGUCAGUCAUCUGCUCACCAGGGGACGGGAAUUACAGGAAAUAGUGCGAUUAACUGUUGGCACGCACUCUGCACAUAAAGAACAUAUGUGGGACUGCUGUAUCUGUGGUAACCUCUUUAAUGUGAUAGAAAAACAUUCAGACUUUGGCAGCAGAAAUGUGCUUUUGGCAGUUUUUGAUAUUCUUUUUAAAUUAGGUUUGGUUUUCCAACAUUAAAGCAAAAACAAAUUAUUAUGAAUAUGCACUUUUACAAGAUUCUUUCCACUGUGGUCGUCCAAAAUAGACUUUAUAAAGGAAUUACAUGCUUUCAUGAAGGCUUUUAUGCAUUCAAUAUGGGUGACGGUUACAAAGACAUGAGCUGUUUCUGCCUCUGAGAGCUUGUAAAGGGUAACAAAGCAUACACAAGGUAACACUAGAUGCUAUGAUCUUACUGUAGCCUGACCUCUGGGGCGCCACAAACAGCCCAGCAACACCUCUGACUCUAUAAAUAUGUAAAACCGUUGGCAUGUUCCAGGGCUCCUGUUGAGCUCUGAGCCUGUGAAUCAUUCAGCCACCCCUCCUCCCUCCUGCAGUGGUGCCCUUGUUGGCCUCUUUGGGGAACAGUGAGAGUAAACAAUGUAAAUAAGUCAUGAUGAGCAAGGCUGGUUGGCACUCGCUCACACAGUUUGAAACAUUGCUGCAGUCAGUUCAGCCCUCUGUGCUAGAGACUGAUCAGGUGAGAGCACUGCUUUUUAUAAAUGUACUAAUUAGCCUCUUUUUUUAAAUAAUAAAUACAUUCACUUAGAUUUUACAAACAUGUUACAUUGUUUAACAACAUCAAUUUUAAAACCUUGUAAAAUUUGUUUACUUACUUAAAUCACA